Molecule: ribosomal RNA, 492 nt
Filed under: Centipeda noxia
Lineage: Bacteria; Bacillati; Bacillota; Negativicutes; Selenomonadales; Selenomonadaceae
Description: bacterial SSU rRNA
Rfam family: Bacterial small subunit ribosomal RNA
Source: RNAcentral
GACGAACGCGGCGGCGUGCUUAACACAUGCAAGUCGAACGGAGCGAAUGAAAGCUUGCUUUUAUAAGCUUAGUGGCAAACGGGUGAGUAACACGUAGGCAACCUGCCGACAGGAUGGGGACAACAUUCCGAAAGGAAUGCUAAUACCGAAUGAAGCGCAGGAGAGGCAUCUCUCCUGCGUGAAAGAUGGCCUCUAUAUAUAAGCUAUCACCUGUCGAUGGGCCUGCGUCUGAUUAGCUGGUAGGUAAGGUAACGGCUCACCUAGGCGACGAUCAGUAGCCGGUCUGAGAGGAUGAACGGCCACAUUGAGACUGAGACACGGCCCAGACUCCUACGGGAGGCAGCAGUGGGGAAUCUUCCGCAAUGGGCGCAAGCCUGACGGAGCAACGCCGCGUGAGUGAAGAAGGUCUUCGGAUCGUAAAGCUCUGUUGAUGGGGACGAACGUGCCUAAUGCGAAUAGUUUUAGGUAAUGACGGUACCCAUCGAGGAAGCC